UUUACCAACAUAUAAAUGGGUGGCUGGUACAUGAGUCUAGAGGGACCCCAGAUGUUUACUCAGAGUGUGCUUGCCAGACGUUGAGUUUGAUCAAACAUGCUUGGCCAGUCACGUUGGUCCAACCCCAUUUCAAGUCUCUGCCAUUUCAUUGAGCAUUCAGUAUUGUUCGUUUGAACUCUUACUAACUGGUCGACAUCUAUAUUCUACAUCGUAUACUACUGUUAAAUACUGAGCCUGAGGAAAUAUUAUUUGUGAGGUGAAGGCUGCCUUUGUGUGUGUGAUUGGAUACUGAUCAUUAUUGGGGAAUUCCCCUGUGACCAGUGAAAAGGGGCGAAUGAUUGAGGCAGGGAUUUAUCAAGGCUUGGCAUCGAUCAUUCUAUAUUAAAAGAAAUCUCUUGAAGGAAGCAGUCAUCUCAUUUGGUCAUCAAGCUCUCAUCCAGCCUCAGGCAAUCUACAGGGUUGUGAUAAGGUGUCUUGGAUCAAGCUCCAGAGAUAUAUCCCUUACCAAGAAGGAACUGAAAUUGGAGAAUCCUCCCCCAGAACUUUAUGAGAAAGCCAGGUUUAUUAUUUGAGUCCAACUCCCUUCAACAUCAUUUCUUUCUUCUAGUGGUGGAUGUACACAAGCUAGUCUGCAAUUUCAGACUGUGAACUUGAACUUAAGGUACUUGUCAUGUUCCUCAUUAACUUUCAACAGUGAAUUAAAUCUGAAUGAAAUUGUUAGGCUUUUCUGUGUUUACAUGACAUAACUUCAGAUUUAAUAGUGUACUGUAUUGCUGCAAAUGUAUAACUGUAUUAACUGUAUUUUAAACAUUAAUCUUUAAAUCAAUUAAAAUCAUUUAAAACAUCUCGUCCACAUAAUCUUCAAACUUCAUGUGACAGGGUCAUGGGUCUGUCACUUCAGACUAAAUUUAAGGAAAGGAGCGAGAGGCACGCUUAGCGCUACCCCUCUUCAUAGAAAUCGUGGGAACAGGAUGAAUGGAAGAGGGGCCAAGAAGUGAUGAACUUGGAAUUCCCUUGUAAUAGAAGAAGCUGUCCCCACUCAAAAAUUUUCAGUCCACCUUGAGUAAACCCUAUAAUGAUAAUUUUGAUGCUCAGUUCAUUCACUUUUGUUAUGCGAAAAAUCUUGUAUCAUCAAUGUGUUAUGCAUCAGAUAAACUGGUAGACUUGUGGUAGCCAGUAGAAUUUGGGUGUUAAUUAGUGGUGAUAGAUGCUGUUCUUUGAAGGACAAAGGAUGCUGAUGAGUUCCAUUCGCUCUACUGUGUCAUGUUGUAAGUAGAACCAUUAUCAUUCAAUGUACAUGUUCUAGUUGUCAUGUACAGGUCAUAGGGGUCUUCUGCAGGGUUCAAGUGAUAAACUUACAGGCCAGAAUGUUACAUGAUUGAUCAUGGCAUGCGUUUGAUAUGUGCGGAAGUCAAGCAACCGCAGUAGAUUACUUCUUCUAUUGAUAUGAUCUAGUAACUGAGUAGAAGUACCAUCCAGUAUGGAUAUUGGGCUGUGUCUGUAUACGGCCUGUUGCAAAAAGAACAUUGCUAGUACGGUAAUCACCAAGUGUAUCUUGGUAGCGAUGUGUACCUUCAUACCAGUUAUUUAU
This is a long non-coding RNA of Lytechinus variegatus (green sea urchin), 1591 nucleotides long. RefSeq lists it as uncharacterized. The record is from RefSeq and is a predicted model, not a curated record. NCBI's taxonomy places the organism in Eukaryota, Metazoa, Echinodermata, Echinoidea, Temnopleuroida, Toxopneustidae. The transcript has 4 exons.